UACGUAGGGGGCAAGCGUUAUCCGGAUUUACUGGGUGUAAAGGGUGCGUAGGCGGAUUUGUAAGUCAGCGGUAAAAAUGCGGUGCUCAACGCCGUAUCGCCGUUGAAACUGCAGGUCUUGAGUGAGCGAGAAGUAUGCGGAAUGCGUGGUGUAGCGGUGAAAUGCAUAGAUAUCACGCAGAACUCCGAUUGCGAAGGCAGCAUACCGGCGCUCAACUGACGCUGAGGCACGAAAGCGUGGGGAUCGAACAGG
Molecule: ribosomal RNA, 252 nt
Filed under: uncultured Bacteroidales bacterium
Lineage: Bacteria; Pseudomonadati; Bacteroidota; Bacteroidia; Bacteroidales
Description: partial 16S ribosomal RNA
Rfam family: Bacterial small subunit ribosomal RNA
Source: RNAcentral